This 317-nucleotide ribosomal RNA is filed under the name uncultured Streptococcus sp. Its description in RNAcentral is "bacterial SSU rRNA". It matches the Rfam family "Bacterial small subunit ribosomal RNA", at positions 1059 to 1382 of the family's 1533-position model. The record is from RNAcentral. Lineage: Bacteria; Bacillati; Bacillota; Bacilli; Lactobacillales; Streptococcaceae.
CUCGUGUCGUGAGAUGUUGGUUAAGUCCGCAACGAGCGCAACCCUAUGUUAGUUGCCAUCAUUCAGUUGGGCACUCUAGCGAGACUGCCGGUAAUAAACCGGAGGAAGUGGGGAUGACGUCAAAUCAUCAUGCCCCUUAUGACCUGGGCUACACACGUGCUACAAUGGUUGGUACAACGAGUUGCGAGUCGGUGACGGCGAGCUAAUCUCUUAAAGCCAAUCUCAGUUCGGAUUGUAGGCUGCAACUCGCCUACAUGAAGUCGGAAUCGCUAGUAAUCGCGGAUCAGCACGCCGCGGUGAAUACGUUCCCGGGCCUU